AGACGUCUUAUCUUCUCCAUUGACGCCACUGCCUUUUCUUCUCCAUCUCUCUCGAAUCUCGAUCUCAGACCCAUCUCUCUCGAUCUCAAACCCAUCUCUCUCUCUCUCUCUCUCUCGAACCCAGCUCUCUCUCUCUUUCGUUCUCUCGAUCUCUUGAAGCUCAUCUCAUCUCACUCUCUCGAACCCUUUGUUCAAAUAGUGGUCUGAGCUUCUGGUCUGAGCUUUCUACAGUUUUCUCAGCUUUACUUGAUGCUCUUGUGCUGUGCGCUCAGGAACCUUUGUUCAAAAUAGUGGUCUGAGCUUCUGGUCUUACCUUGUAGCUGAGUUAUCCGAGAAGCAUUACAAGUACUCUUAGGAGGGACAGCUUGAUGAUGUGACAGUAAUCGUUGCCCAAGUGUUGGACUCUUGAGUCUAUGUGAUCUUUUCUCAUUAUUGUCUUGUUGUACAAAGAAACUUGUCAUUGUAUUGGAAAAUCUGUAUUAAAAGAACUGAUUUUUUUUAUCAUUGUGAAUGAAUCAAUGAACACUCUUUCAAAGCU
Molecule: long non-coding RNA, 538 nt
Organism: Raphanus sativus (radish)
Lineage: Eukaryota; Viridiplantae; Streptophyta; Magnoliopsida; Brassicales; Brassicaceae
Exons: 4
Source: RefSeq, a predicted model, not a curated record